Long non-coding RNA from Asterias rubens (European starfish), 840 nucleotides. RefSeq lists it as uncharacterized. NCBI's taxonomy places the organism in Eukaryota, Metazoa, Echinodermata, Asteroidea, Forcipulatida, Asteriidae. The record is from RefSeq and is a predicted model, not a curated record. The transcript is spliced from 4 exons.
UUUACAUCGCAUAUGUACAUGGGUGCAUAAAGCGCUUGCCUUUCACUACUGGCCUAUUUACAGGCAAUACAUGUAUAAUAGAUUGUGCUUGUUUCCUAUGUCACAAGGGUUGUCUCGGGGCUGUCCUGUUUUCCUUUCUCUGGAGAAAACAUACACUCUUUCUAUCUCCAUUUUCAAAGGUGCCCAUUCCUAGCCUUGCAGUUUGUUCAUUCGUAGCCGCUUCCUCCGCAUCAGUUUCUUAGCGAUGCAGCCAGAUGUUUCAUUCCUUUCGCCACAUCCAAAGCGAACUCAAGCAGUUUCUUCGAAGACAGAACAACUCCUUGACUAUUAUCCUCAUCCACGUGUCGAGCUUUCCUCAGGUAGGAGCGAAGGUCACCGUUGGAUUUAAAACAAACACAAGAUGGCAGUUAUUGUUUGUCUGUUGGCGUUACUAAGUGCUACGGUUGUUGCUUCUUCAUGUCCAUCAGAACUAAAUACGAGUCAACUACGUGUAGUUGGAACGCACCAGUUUUACCCAGUCGAAAAUCACAUCUUUAGCGGUGCGGCUUACAGCAACAAGACGGCUCGCUCCUACUUGACGUGUGCAAUUUUCUGUUUGCAAGAUGGCUUCUGCAAGUCGUUUAAUUUCUGCACGGGUAGCAAGUUAUGCAGUCACAACUCAGAAGCACAUUCAAUGGAUGCACUCCCACUAAAACCAUCUGACGGAUGUUUAUACUUUGACGAAACAAUACCAGAAGUUGGCAGCAAUGCUCCAUGUGCAACAUACAGGAAAGCAGCCGGUAGCACAACUGUUAUCUAUGACGGACAAUUCCCAGAGCGAAUUCAUCUCUCUAUUUUAAC